This is a long non-coding RNA of Mus musculus (house mouse), 2491 nucleotides long. RefSeq annotates it as predicted gene, 30068. The record is from RefSeq and is a predicted model, not a curated record. NCBI's taxonomy places the organism in Eukaryota, Metazoa, Chordata, Mammalia, Rodentia, Muridae. The transcript is spliced from 4 exons.
UUGGGAGGGGGUGGGGGUAGGGGGGGUCAGUCCUGGGUGCGGGCAGGUGCAGCGCGGGGCUCAAGCCUCCCCGCCGGCAGAGGGCGUCCGCGAGGCUCAGUGUGGAGCGAGUGUGCGGGGCGCCCGGCUCACCUGCAGCGCCGAGCCUGGAAGCGAGCCGCGCGACCCGCCGUGUCGCCUGGGAGGACCCUGGCCGCCGCAAGGCCUCCGGAAAGCCGGCUUCCCGGAAUGACCGUAGGCCGGCAGUGGUUACAUCUGUGUGUGGCUCUGGAAGGAGGGUGUCAGGAGCUUCCCCAUCUCAGAAAGGAGUGCCUUGGGAACCAAGCAAAGGGAAGAGACACCAAGACAGCCAGAGUCAGCGAUGGCUGAGAGCCACCUCUCCCCGUCUGUGAUGCCUCUUGUGAAGGAAGGGAAAGACCAUGAGACCGAGGAUCCGGCAGAACACAGAUACUCUGGGCAUGAGAGCCACUGGAUCUGUAGCUACAGAAAAUGAACAUACCCACUGAAGGUGUCCUGUGGAGAGGCAGCAGAAGGACACCAAGGACACAGCCCUGGGGGAUGCCAUCCUUCUGAUAUCAGGCUGGAAGGUCCAGCCAAGGGGGCAGGAUGAGGCUGGAAAGCGGGAUGCUCAGAGGCCUGUGGCAACCAUGGGCAUCAAGAAAAGAACAACGAGAGAUGCUUGGAGGCUGGAAUGGGUUUCUGGACUUGGCCCCGUGGAGGAGGUGACUUGGAUUAGGCCAGCUUCGGAGGAACAACUGGCAGAAGUCAGAGUGAGCCACUGAGAGAUGGCUCAGAGGUGAAGAGCACUGGCUGCUCUCACAGAGGAUCGAAAUUCAGGUCCCAGCACCCACGUGGCAACACACAACUAUGUGUAACUGCAGUUCCUGGUGAUCUGGACACAUAUAAGCAAAAUAUUCACACACACACACACACACACACACACACACACACACACACACACACACACUAAAUAUUGAGGGACUGGAGAGAUGGCUCCGUGGUCAAGAGCACUAACUGCUCUUCUAGAGGUCCUGAGUUCAAUUCUCAGCAACCACAUGGUGGCUCACAACUAUCUGUAAUGGGAUCUGAUGCCCUCUUCUGGCGUGUCUGAAGGCAGCUAUGAUGUACUCAUAUAAAUAAAAUGAAUAAAUAUUAAAAAUUAAAGAGUGAGGGGAACUGGACAUGAGAGUAUAUAAUUUAGCUUGUAAUUUAGCUCUCAGGAGUUGGAGUCAGGAGAAUCAGGAGUUCAAGGCCAGCCCUGCCCAUGUAGUGAAUUGCAGACCAGUCUGUGACAUAUGACACCCUGUCUCAAUAAAAAGAAAUAAAAGUAAGAAAGGAGCUGGGAGGUGGUGGUGCAUGGCUUUAAUCCCAGCACUUAGGAGGCAGAGGCAGGUGGAUCUCUGUGAAUUUGAGAACAGCCUGGACUAUAGAUCUAGUGUUAGGACAGCCAGAGCUACACAGUGAAACCCUGACUUGAAAAAAAAAAAAAAACCAAUCAAACAAAAAAGUAAAAAGAAGGAAAGAGAUGAGAGUGAGCGACAAACGCCACGAUCAGUGUCGAUGUUUAUGUGUAAUCCCAGAUCUUGGGAGGUAGAGGCAGGAGGAUCAGGAAUUCAGGUCAUCCUGGGCUACAUAGGAAAUUCCAGGCUAUCCUAGGCUACAUGAGAUCCUGUCACAAAAAUAAACAAAACCAAAACAAGAAGUCUGUGUUCUCUUUAGAAUUCCAAAUGACAGAUGAUUUGAAUAAACGUUUGGUUUUCAGCAAAGUGCCUCUUGCUAGGAUGGCCAGGCAACCAGUCCAUUUAAUAAAGCCUUUUACUAGGCCCAGUUCAUUGACUCAUGGUUGCUCCAAUCUCCUGGAAACUGCAAACAUUGGCGGGACUGUCAGUGGCAGGGUGGGUGGGGAGGUAGAAGAUUAUGUGAGAAUUUAUUGUACUUUUGGUCAACAUUGUAAAACCCAAAACAACUCUAAAAAAAAUUAGUUGACUAGGAUUGGGGUAAUUGCUGAGUGGUUAGAGCACUUGCUGUGUAAGCCUAGGACCCAAGUUUGGAUCCCAGCAUCCAUGUAUAGUCAAACGCAGCAGCAGGCAUCUUCCUUCCUACGGGGAUGUGUGAGGGCGAGACAGAAGGGUCCCCAGAGGCUUAGGGGCUAGUCAGCCUGGGUACACAGUGGCAACUCACAAAAGACUCUGUCUCAAACAUGGUGGAAGGUGGAGGGGCACACCUGAGUCGCUCUGACCUCCACGUGUGUAUGUGUGCACCAAUAUUUACACAAACGUGUGUAACAUGCACAUAGCUAUGCACAAAUACACACCAUGCAUAGAUUUAAAAAGAUAAAAUUAAAACCCCUUCAAAGUUGGUUAUCUGCCAGCAAACAUGACCACAGCUCUAUAUGGUUGGGCUCAGUUUUUGGACUCAGACGUGGUGAUCCCAUUGUGCCUCCUUUCCCGGGAGAUGGGCCCAUUGUUUUGAGAGGCCAAAUCUUUUAAGU